RNAcentral lists this ribosomal RNA (392 nucleotides) under uncultured bacterium. Its description in RNAcentral is "partial 16S ribosomal RNA". It matches the Rfam family "Bacterial small subunit ribosomal RNA", at positions 523 to 918 of the family's 1533-position model. The record is from RNAcentral.
AUACGGGGGAUCCGAGCGUUAUCCGGAUUUAUUGGGUUUAAAGGGUGCGCAGGCGGCCAUUUAAGUCAGCGGUUAAAUCGUGGGGCUCACCCCCAUUCUGCCGUUGAUACUGGGUGGCUUGAUUGCGGUCGAGGUUGGCGGAAUUCGUUGUGUAGCGGUGAAAUGCAUAGAUAUGACGAAGAACACCGAUUGCGUAGGCAGCUGACCAGACCGCAAAUGACGCUCAUGCACGAAAGUGCGGGGAUCGAACAGGAUUAGAUACCCUGGUAGUCCGCACAGUAAACGAUGAAUACUUGUUUUCGGCGAUAUAAUGUCGGAGGCAAAGCGAAAGCGAUAAGUAUUCCACCUGGGGAGUACGCCGGCAACGGUGAAACUCAAAGGAAUUGACGGGG